RNAcentral lists this ribosomal RNA (497 nucleotides) under uncultured bacterium. RNAcentral describes it as "partial 16S ribosomal RNA". It matches the Rfam family "Bacterial small subunit ribosomal RNA", at positions 28 to 507 of the family's 1533-position model. The record is from RNAcentral.
GAUGAACGCUGGCGGCGUGCCUAAUACAUGCAAGUCGAGCGAACGGACGAGAAGUUUGCUUCUCUGACGUUAGCGGCGGACGGGUGAGUAACACGUGGAUAACCUACCUAUAAGACUGGGAUACCUGCGGGAAACCGGAGCUAAUACCGGAUAAUAUUUUGAACCGCAGGGUUCAAGAGUGAAAGACGGUUUUGCUGUCACUUAUAGAUGGAUCCGCGCUGGAUUAGCUAGUUGGUAAGGUAACGGCUUACCAAGACAACGAUGCGUAGCCGACCUGAGAGGGUGAUCGGCCACACUGGAACUGAGACACGGUCCAGGCUCCUACGGGAGGCAGCAGUAGGGAAUCUUCCGCAAUGGGCGAAAGCCUGACGGAGCAACGCCGCGUGUGUGAUGAAGGUCUUCGGAUCGUAAAACUCUGUUAUUAGGGAAGAACAAAUGUGUAAGUAACUGUGCACGUCUUGACGGUACCUAAUCAGAAAGCCACGGCUAACUACGUG